Molecule: unclassified non-coding RNA, 350 nt
Filed under: soil metagenome
Description: partial contains 5.8S ribosomal RNA, internal transcribed spacer 2, and large subunit ribosomal RNA
Rfam family: 5.8S ribosomal RNA (bases 1-120)
Source: RNAcentral
GAUGAAGAACGCAGUGAACUGCGAUAAGUAAUGUGAAUUGCAGAAUUCAGUGAAUCAUCGAGUCUUUGAACGCACAUUGCGCCCCCUGGCAUUCCGGGGGGCAUGCCUGUCCGAGCGUCAUUGCUGCCCAUCAAGCCCGGCUUGUGUGUUGGGUCGUCGUCCCCCCCGGGGGACGGGCCCGAAAGGCAGCGGCGGCACCGCGUCCGGUCCUCGAGCGUAUGGGGCUUUGUCACCCGCUCGAUUAGGGCCGGCCGGGCGCCAGCCGGCGUCUCCAACCUUCUAUUUUACCAGGUUGACCUCGGAUCAGGUAGGGAUACCCGCUGAACUUAAGCAUAUCAAUAAGCGGAGGA